GUCUGGAUGAUGAAACGAUGGUAUCUGAAUGAGCAAAUUAUUGUUGAGAAGCCUUUUACCAUCUGCUGCCUUCCUUCUGAUCGG
This is a small nucleolar RNA of Drosophila melanogaster (fruit fly), 84 nucleotides long. The record is from Ensembl. NCBI's taxonomy places the organism in Eukaryota, Metazoa, Arthropoda, Insecta, Diptera, Drosophilidae.